This 104-nucleotide transfer RNA is filed under the name Colletotrichum orchidophilum. It matches the Rfam family "tRNA". From Rfam's summary of the family: Transfer RNA (tRNA) molecules are approximately 80 nucleotides in length. Lineage: Eukaryota; Fungi; Ascomycota; Sordariomycetes; Glomerellales; Glomerellaceae. The record is from Rfam by way of RNAcentral.
GGCCGGCUGGCGCAAUGGUAGCGCAUCAGACUUCUACUACUUCUGCACAUUAGUCCGGAAGAAUAGAUAUCUGGGGGUUGUGGGUUCGAGCCCCACGUUGGUCA